Molecule: non-coding RNA, 199 nt
Rfam family: T-box leader
About the family: Uncharged tRNA acts as the effector for transcription antitermination of genes in the T-box leader family. T-boxes are found upstream of many aminoacyl-tRNA synthetase genes and some amino acid biosynthetic genes usually in Gram-positive bacteria.
UAUAUUGCUAUGAUAAGGAGUAGUAGUAUUUGAUUCAAUUUUAGAGAGCUGUCGGUUGGUGCAAGACAGUAUUGAUAAAAUAUGAACUUGCCUUGGAGCUUGUCUGCAAAAACAGACACGGAUUAAACCGUUAUUUUUUAGAGUGAAGCUUUAUGCUUAAUUAGAGUGGUACCGCGGAAUUACAACUUUCGUCUCUUAA